Molecule: ribosomal RNA, 520 nt
Filed under: uncultured marine eukaryote
Lineage: Eukaryota
Description: SSU rRNA
Rfam family: Eukaryotic small subunit ribosomal RNA
Source: RNAcentral
AAAUUAAGCCAUGCAUGUCUAAGUAUAAACAAAUCUAUACUGUGAAACUGCGAAUGGCUCAUUAUAUCAGUUAUAGUUUAUUUGAUGGUUCUUGCUACUUGGAUAACCGUAGUAAUUCUAGAGCUAAUACAUGCAUCAAACCUCGACUUUUUUGGAAGAGGUGUAUUUAUUAGAUGGAAACCAAUGCGGGGCAACCCGGAUUCAGGUGAUUCAUAAUAACUUUCGGAUCGAUCUUCGGAUCGAUGCAUCAUUCAAGUUUCUGCCCUAUCAGCUUUGGAUGGUAGGGUAUUGGCCUACCAUGGCUUUAACGGGUAACGGAGAAUUAGGGUUCGAUUCCGGAGAGGGAGCCUGAGAAACGGCUACCACAUCCAAGGAAGGCAGCAGGCGCGUAAAUUACCCCAAUCCUGACACAGGGAGGUAGUGACAAUAAAUAACAAUGCCCGGGCUUUUUUGAGUCUGGCAAUUGGAAUGAGAACAAUUUAAAUCCCUUAUCGAGGAUCAAUUGGAGGGCAAGUCUGGU